AAGUGAAACGAGAAGACCACGAGUUAUGAUCCAGAGUACCACGAGACACGUGAAACUUGUGGGAAGCAGGGAGGACCACCUCCCAAGGCUAAAUACUACCUGAUGACCGAUAGUGAAGCAGUACCGUGAGGGAAAGGUGAAAAGAACCCCGGGAGGGGAGUGAAAUAGAACCUGAAACCGUGUGCCUACAACCGCUCAGAGCCCCUUAUGAGGGUGAUGAGGUGCUUUUUGUAGAACGAGCCAACGAGUUACGGUAUGUAGCAAGGUUAAGUACUUAAGGUACGGAGCCGAAGGGAAACCGAGUCUGAAUAGGGCGACUAGUUGCAUGCCGUAGACCCGAAACCGGGUGACCUAUCCAUGGCCAGGUUGAAGCGAGGGUAAAACCUCGUGGAGGACCGAACCACGUUGCUGUUGAAAAAGCAUGGGAUGAGCUGUGGAUAGCGGAGAAAUUCCAAUCGAACCCGGAGAUAGCUGGUUCUCUCCGAAAUAGCUUUAGGGCUAGCGUCGAGUAUGAGUAGUGGAGGUAGAGCACUGAAUGGGCUAGGGGGCAUAGCGCUUACCGAACCUUAUCAAACUCCGAAUGCCACAUACUUUGAGCUCGGCAGUCAGACUACGAAUGAUAAGAUCCGUGGUCAAAAGGGAAACAGCCCAGAUCGUCAGCUAAGGUCCCAAAGUGUAAGUUAAGUGGGAAAGGAUGUGAGAUUUCUAAGACAACUAGGAUGUUGGCUUAGAAGCAGCCAUUCAUUAAAAGAGUGCGUAAUAGCUCACUAGUCGAGAGAUCUUGCGCCGAAAAUGUAACGGGGCUAAACUUACCACCGAAGCUACGGGCUUGAACUUAGUUCAAGCGGUAGGAGAGCGUCGUAACCGGGCUGAAGUCGUACCGUAAGGAGCGGUGGACUGGUUACGAGUGAGAAUGUUGGCAUCAGUAGCGAGAUGUGGGUGAGAAUCCCACAGGCCGAAAACCUAAGGUUUCCUCAGGAAGGUUCGUCCGCUGAGGGUUAGUCGGGACCUAAGCCGAGGCCGAAAGGCGUAGGUGAUGGACAACUGGUUGAUAUUCCAGUACCACUACCAUCGUUAUUAUCGAUGGCGUGACGCAGGAGGAUAGUGUGUGCUAGCUAUUGGAUGCUAGUCUAAGCGUUUAGGCAGUGAGAGUAGGCAAAUCCGCUCUCAUAAUGCUGAGGCGUGAUGGGGAAGGUUCUACGGAACCGAAGUACAUGAUUCCACGCUGCCAAGAAAAGCGUCUAGAGAGAGAAGUAGUGCCCGUACCGCAAACCGACACAGGUAGGUGAGGAGAGAAUCCUAAGGCCGGCGGAAGAAUUACAGUUAAGGAACUCGGCAAAUUGACCCCGUAAGUUCGCGAGAAGGGGUGCCUACGAGAGUAGGCCGCAGAGAAUAGGCCCAAGCAACUGUUUAGCAAAAACACAGGUCUCUGCUAAAGCGUAAGCUGAUGUAUAGGGGCUGACGCCUGCCCGGUGCUGGAAGGUUAAGGGGAACACUUAGCGCAAGCGAAGGUGUGAACUUAAGCCCCAGUAAACGGCGGCCGUAACUAUAACGGUCCUAAGGUAGCGAAAUUCCUUGUCAGGUAAGUUCUGACCCGCACGAAUGGCGUAAUGACUUGGGCACUGUCUCAACUGUAAAUCCGGCGAAGUUGUAGUGCGAGUGAAGAUGCUCGCUACCCGCGAUUGGACGGAAAGACCCCGUAGAGCUUUACUGUAGCUUAGCAUUGAGUUUUGGUAUUGUCUGUACAGGAUAGGUGGGAGACUAGGAAACCAGGGCGUCAGCCUUGGUGGAGUCAACCUUGGGAUACCACCCUGACAGUACUGAAAUUCUAACUGGCGGCCAUGAAUCUGGUCACAGGACAUUGUUAGGUGGGCAGUUUGACUGGGGCGGUCGCCUCCUAAAAAGUAACGGAGGCGCCCAAAGGUUCCCUCAGAACGGUCGGAAAUCGUUCGAAGAGUGCAAAGGCAGAAGGGAGCCUGACUGCGACACCCACAAGUGGAGCAGGGACGAAAGUCGGGCUUAGUGAUCCGGUGGUACCUCGUGGGAGGGCCAUCGCUCAACGGAUAAAAGCUACCUCGGGGAUAACAGGCUGAUCUCCCCCAAGAGUCCACAUCGACGGGGAGGUUUGGCACCUCGAUGUCGGCUCGUCGCAUCCUGGGGCUGAAGUAGGUCCCAAGGGUUGGGCUGUUCGCCCAUUAAAGCGGCACGCGAGCUGGGUUCAGAACGUCGUGAGACAGUUCGGUCCCUAUCCGUCGCGGGCGUAGGAAAUUUGAGAGGAGCUGUCCUUAGUACGAGAGGACCGGGAUGGACUGACCUCUGGUGUACCAGUUGUUCCGCCAGGAGCACAGCUGGGUAGCUAAGUCGGGAAUGGAUAAACGCUGAAAGCAUCUAAGCGUGAAGCCAACCUCAAGAUGAGAUUUCCCAUAGCGUAAGCUAGUAAGAUCCCUUGAAGAACACAAGGUUGAUAGGUCGGGGGUGUAAGCAUGGUAACAUGUUCAGCUGACCGAUACUAAUAGAUCGAGGGCUUGACCAA
RNAcentral lists this ribosomal RNA (2533 nucleotides) under Clostridium perfringens CPE str. F4969. Its description in RNAcentral is "bacterial LSU rRNA". It matches the Rfam family "Bacterial large subunit ribosomal RNA", at positions 377 to 2925 of the family's 2925-position model. The record is from RNAcentral. Lineage: Bacteria; Bacillati; Bacillota; Clostridia; Eubacteriales; Clostridiaceae.